ACGAAGCCACUUUAUUUGAUUUCCUUCGGGAUUGAUUAUUUUGUGACUGAGUGGCGGACGGGUGAGUAACGCGUGGGUAACCUGCCUUGUACAGGGGGAUAACAGUUGGAAACGGCUGCUAAUACCGCAUAAGCGCACGGCAUCGCAUGAUGCAGUGUGAAAAACUCCGGUGGUAUAAGAUGGACCCGCGUUGGAUUAGCUAGUUGGUGAGGUAACGGCCCACCAAGGCGACGAUCCAUAGCCGACCUGAGAGGGUGACCGGCCACAUUGGGACUGAGACACGGCCCAAACUCCUACGGGAGGCAGCAGUGGGGAAUAUUGCACAAUGGGCGAAAGCCUGAUGCAGCGACGCCGCGUGAGCGAAGAAGUAUUUCGGUAUGUAAAGCUCUAUCAGCAGGGAAGAUAAUGACGGUNCCUGACUAAGAAGCACCGGCUAAAUACGUGCCAGCAGCCGCGGUAAUACGUA
RNAcentral lists this ribosomal RNA (466 nucleotides) under uncultured Bacillota bacterium. Its description in RNAcentral is "bacterial SSU rRNA". It matches the Rfam family "Bacterial small subunit ribosomal RNA", at positions 57 to 529 of the family's 1533-position model. Lineage: Bacteria; Bacillati; Bacillota. The record is from RNAcentral.